RNAcentral lists this long non-coding RNA (731 nucleotides) under Citrus x clementina. Its description in RNAcentral is "Citrus clementina (C. clementina) long non-coding RNA (CCLE_LNC003167)". The record is from RNAcentral. Lineage: Eukaryota; Viridiplantae; Streptophyta; Magnoliopsida; Sapindales; Rutaceae.
CGCCCGCAAAGUCUGGGGCCAUUCCGAGUCCGGCGGACGAACUUCGCCCACGCCCCCCGCCAAGGCUAUAGCCCACCCGUUUUUUGGCCAUUCUUCCGCUGGGGGGUGUUGGCGCCCCGACCUUCGGGCACUCAUUUUUGGGCGCGGCUGUGCCCGUGGCCUAUUUUUGGCACACGGAGGCCGCCCGCAAAGUCUGGGGCCAUUCCGAGUCCGGCGUACGAACUUCGCCCACGCCCCCCACCAAGGCUAUAGCCCACACGUUUUUUGGCCAUUUUUCCGCUGGGGGGUGUUGGCGCCCCGACCUUCAGAUGCUCAUUUUUGGGUGCGGCUGUGCCCGAGGCAUAUUUUUGGCAAACGGAGGCCGCCCGCAAAGUCUGGGGCCAUUCCGAGUCCGGCGGACGAACUUCGCCCACGCCCCCCACCAAGGCUAUAGCACACCCGUUUCUUGGCCUUUUUUCCGCUGGGGGGUGUUGGUGCCCCGACCUUCGGGUGCUCAUUUUUGGGCGCGGCUGUGCCCGUGGCCUAUUUUUGGCACACGGAGGCCGCCCGCAAAGUUUGGGGCCAUUCCGAGUCCGGCGUACGAAAUUCGCCCACGCCCCCCACCAAGGCUAUAGCCCACACGUUUUUUUGCCAUUUUUCCGCUGGGGGGUGUUGGCGCCCCGACCUUCGGAUGCUCAUUUUUGGGCGCGGCUGUGCCCGUGGCCUAUUUUUGGCAAACGGAGGCCGCCCGC